UUACACAUGCAAGUCGAACGGUGACGGUAGAGCUUGCUCUGCCUGAUCAGUGGCGAACGGGUGAGUAACACGUGAGUAACCUGCCCCUCACUCUGGGAUAACAUCGGGAAACCGGUGCUAAUACUGGAUAUGAGAUGCCUCCGCAUGGAGAGUGUCUGGAAAGAUUUAUCGGUGGGGGAUGGACUCGCGGCCUAUCAGCUUGUUGGUGGGGUAAUGGCCCACCAAGGCGACGACGGGUAGCCGGCCUGAGAGGGCGACCGGCCACACUGGGACUGAGACACGGCCCAGACUCCUACGGGAGGCAGCAGUGGGGAAUAUUGCACAAUGGGCGAAAGCCUGAUGCAGCGACGCCGCGUGGGGGAUGAAGGCCUUCGGGUUGUAAACCCCUUUCAGCAGGGAAGAAGCGAAAGUGACGGUACCUGCAGAAGAAGCGCCGGCUAACUACGUGCCAGCAGCCGCGGUAAUACGUAGGGCGCAAGCGUUGUCCGGAAUUAUUGGGCGUAAAGAGCUCGUAGGCGGUUUGUCGCGUCUGGUGUGAAAACUCAAGGCUCAACCUUGAGCUUGCAUCGGGUACGGGCA
RNAcentral lists this ribosomal RNA (579 nucleotides) under Sanguibacter sp. RNAcentral describes it as "bacterial SSU rRNA". It matches the Rfam family "Bacterial small subunit ribosomal RNA", at positions 49 to 638 of the family's 1533-position model. Lineage: Bacteria; Bacillati; Actinomycetota; Actinomycetes; Micrococcales; Sanguibacteraceae. The record is from RNAcentral.